UGGGGAAUUUUGGACAAUGGGCGAAAGCCUGAUCCAGCAAUGCCGCGUGUGUGAAGAAGGCCUUCGGGUUGUAAAGCACUUUUGUCCGGAAAGAAAUCCUUGGCUCUAAUACAGUCGGGGGAUGACGGUACCGGAAGAAUAAGCACCGGCUAACUACGUGCCAGCAGCCGCGGUAAUACGUAGGGUGCAAGCGUUAAUCGGAAUUACUGGGCGUAAAGCGUGCGCAGGCGGUUUGCUAAGACCGAUGUGAAAUCCCCGGGCUCAACCUGGGAACUGCAUUGGUGACUGGCAGGCUAGAGUAUGGCAGAGGGGGGUAGAAUUCCACGUGUAGCAGUGAAAUGCGUAGAGAUGUGGAGGAAUACCGAUGGCGAAGGCAGCCCCCUGGGCCAAUACUGACGCUCAUGCACGAAAGCGUGGGGAGCAAACAGGAUUAGAUACCCUGGUAGUCCACGCCCAAACGAUGUCAACUAGUUGUUGGGAUCAUUCCUAGUAACGUGCUAACGCGUGAAGUGACCGCUGGGGAGUACGGUCGCAAGAUUAAAAUUCAAAUGAAUUGACGGGGUCAUAGCUGUUUCCU
This 577-nucleotide ribosomal RNA is filed under the name uncultured bacterium. RNAcentral's name for it is "partial 16S ribosomal RNA". It matches the Rfam family "Bacterial small subunit ribosomal RNA", at positions 355 to 1375 of the family's 1533-position model. The record is from RNAcentral.